Molecule: long non-coding RNA, 817 nt
Organism: Branchiostoma belcheri (Belcher's lancelet)
Lineage: Eukaryota; Metazoa; Chordata; Leptocardii; Amphioxiformes; Branchiostomatidae
Exons: 3
Source: RefSeq, a predicted model, not a curated record
ACAUACUGAGAUACAUUCGUCAACAACUGCACGUACUGCACGCAGCAUUGACAGGUAAAACGGUUGGUAGACUUAGAUUUUAUACCAAGUUUGUUUUAUUGUUAUAGGAGUUUUAUGCGCUGUAUACCAAUCAGAGAACAUCAGCUUGGCAUCGAUACUAGGUUAUUGUCAUAAAUUCGCGGUUGUAUAUACCCAGUUUUAAGUGUGUCUUAACUGGGUCAUUUAUGAGCAGAGAAUUCCUGAGUAUAGAGAAUGAGUGGUACCCGAGUCUGUAUAGGUGUUUGUAUAAUGAUGUGUCUGUAAAAGUGAUUUCUAUUUGAAACGCAAGAGAGCAGAUUCAGGCUAAACUCAAGGAGGAGUUCUGUUUAUCGCAUGUUUUGACAGACAAAUUUAGGUAACGCCAAAUGUAGUAGCCGUUGUUGCUAUUUGAAACUAGGACUGUUUCCGAUAUAUAUGUAACUGGAUGCCAUUGAUGACAAAGUGGUUUCUUCCAACCAAAUUGAAUCAAUUCUACAGACAUAACGCCAUUAGCUGCUGUUUAAAAUCCAACGAAGAAGACUUGCAAACACGUGACUGCAGAAAAACCGACACCACAGCAGAAAUGAUGAAUCUAAACAACCAGGCCGUCUGUUGUGUGGCGAUGUGUGUGGCGGUCGUCGUGGGAUUUUUGUUGAGUGGAUUCCUCAUCAGCAUCAGCUUAUAAAAACACGACAGAUUGUCAUUGACAACUAUGGUUAAUUGACAGCUGAGCACAACGGAUGCCAGGAGACCAGAACACCAACACAGUCAGCAACAUCAUCCCUACAACGAAGACAUU